CAAGUAAAUAUAUCCGAUUUUAAUAAGUGCCACGAAAUUUAGAAAAGAUUAUUUAAAUUAAAAAAUAAUAAUAAUUGGGGUUGAGAAGAAGGUAAGGGCCGAAGACUCGUUCAUCUCUCAUUUCAAUUCUCAAGUGCUGAAAAAAAGGAAAUAGUGGAAAGUUAUAUGGAUAGCAAAUCACCGAGCAAGAAGGCAUCUGAGGAGCUGGCACGUGAGUUGCUUAUUGCUAUCUCUGAUUCUUUACCAGAAAAAAUUCUGGAUUCAGAUCCUGUGCCUGAAAGCAAGGUAGCAGAUGGCUUUGCGACACCAAACAGUGAUUGGGACGACAAGUUUAGGUCUGAAUUGAUUUCCAUCUCAUAUGUUGAAUUUCCUGAUGUCGAAAUCUGAUGCAUUACAAGGGAGUCUAGACUCUGUUAGUAACAUAUACUGCACUGCUGGUUGUUUAUGUGGUUGAAUUUCCGCUGCGCCAAUUGUUAUGACUUGGUUAUACUAUGUCAGCUAUCUUGCAACAUGUAGAUACUUUCACCAGUCACAUUAUUAGUUUUGUUCUAAAAAUGGCACUUAUAAAUAGUUUUCUUUUAUGUCUUGGUUCAUAAAAAUUCAAACUGGAGAAUGUUAAUGGCAUGUGAUAAAAUAACACUAAAAUCUUAGAUUCA
This is a non-coding RNA of Cajanus cajan (pigeon pea), 656 nucleotides long. NCBI's taxonomy places the organism in Eukaryota, Viridiplantae, Streptophyta, Magnoliopsida, Fabales, Fabaceae. The record is from RefSeq and is a predicted model, not a curated record.